RNAcentral lists this ribosomal RNA (515 nucleotides) under uncultured bacterium. RNAcentral describes it as "partial 16S ribosomal RNA". It matches the Rfam family "Bacterial small subunit ribosomal RNA", at positions 28 to 523 of the family's 1533-position model. The record is from RNAcentral.
GAUGAACGCUGGCGGCGUGCCUAAUACAUGCAAGUCGAGCGAAUGGAUUAAGAGCUUGCUCUUAUGAAGUUAGCGGCGGACGGGUGAGUAACACGUGGGUAACCUGCCCAUAAGACUGGGAUAACUCCGGGAAACCGGGGCUAAUACCGGAUAACAUUUUGAACCGCAUGGUUCGAAAUUGAAAGGCGGCUUCGGCUGUCACUUAUGGAUGGACCCGCGUCGCAUUAGCUAGUUGGUGAGGUAACGGCUCACCAAGGCAACGAUGCGUAGCCGACCUGAGAGGGUGCUCGGCCACACUGGGACUGAGACACGGCCCAGACUCCUACGGGAGGCAGCAGUAGGGAAUCUUCCGCAAUGGACGAAAGUCUGACGGAGCAACGCCGCGUGAGUGAUGAAGGCUUUCGGGUCGUAAAACUCUGUUGUUAGGGAAGGACAAGUGCUAGUUGAAUAAGCUGGCACCUUGACGGUACCUAACCAGAAAGCCACGGCUAACUACGUGCCAGCAGCCGCAGUAA